UACGGAGGAUGCGAGCGUUAUCCGGAUUUAUUGGGUUUAAAGGGUGCGUAGGCGGCCUUGUAAGUCAGCGGUGAAAUUUUGCAGCUUAACUGUAAAAGUGCCGUUGAUACUGUGAGGCUAGGAUUUGGUUGCUGUGCGUGGAAUGUGUGGUGUAGCGGUGAAAUGCUUAGAGAUCACACAGAAUAUCGAUUGCGAAGGCAGCUCACAAAGCCAAGAUUGACGCUGAGGCACGAAAGUGUGGGGAUCAAACA
Molecule: ribosomal RNA, 251 nt
Filed under: uncultured prokaryote
Description: partial 16S ribosomal RNA
Rfam family: Bacterial small subunit ribosomal RNA
Source: RNAcentral